This 399-nucleotide ribosomal RNA is filed under the name uncultured bacterium. RNAcentral's name for it is "bacterial SSU rRNA". It matches the Rfam family "Bacterial small subunit ribosomal RNA", at positions 29 to 414 of the family's 1533-position model. The record is from RNAcentral.
AACGAACGUUAGCGGCGCGCCUAACACAUGCAAGUCGAGCGAGAAAGGGCUUCGGCCCCGGUAAAGCGGCGCACGGGUGAGUAACACGUGGAUAACCUACCCCUUGGUGGUGGAUAACCUUCCGAAAGGAGGGCUAAUACAGCGUAAGACCACGACUUCGAAAGAGGUUGGGGUAAAAGUGGGCCUCUGUACACAAGCUCACGCCAGGGGAUGGGUCCGCGGCCCAUCAGCUAGUUGGUAGGGUAACGGCCUACCAAGGCGAAGACGGGUAGCUGGUCUGAGAGGAUGAUCAGCCACACUGGAACUGAGACACGGUCCAGACUCCUACGGGAGGCAGCAGUGGGAAUCUUGCGCAAUGGACGAAAGUCUGACGCAGCGACGCCGCGUGAGUGAUGAAGG